AGAGUUUGAUCCUGGCUCAGGAUGAACGCUGGCGGCGUGCUUAACACAUGCAAGUCGAACGGGGAACCUUUUAUUGAAGCUUCGGCAGAUUUAGAUUGUUUCUAGUGGCGGACGGGUGAGUAACGCGUGGGUAACCUGCCUUAUACAGGGGGAUAACAGCUGGAAACGGCUGCUAAUACCGCAUAAGCGCACGAGGAGACAUCUCCUAGUGUGAAAAACUCCGGUGGUACAGGAUGGGCCCGCGUCUGAUUAGCUGGUUGGCAGGGUAACGGCCUACCAAACCGACGAUCAGUAGCCCGGCCUGAGAGGGCGACCGGCCACAUUGGGACUGAGACACGGCCCAGACUCUUACGGGAGGCAGCAGUGGGGAAUAUUGCACAAUGGGGGGAACCCUGAUGCAGCGACGCCGCGUGAAGGAAGAAGUAUCUCGGUAUGUAAACUUCUAUCAGCAGGGAAGAAAAUGACGGUACCUGACUAAGAAGCCCCGGCUAACUACGUGCCAGCAGCCGCGGUAAUACGUAGGGGGCAAGCGUUAUCCGGAUUUACUGGGUGUAAAGGGAGCGCAGGCGGUGCGGCAAGUCUGAUGUGAAAGCCCGGGGCUCAACCCCGGUACUGCAUUGGAAACUGUCGUACUAGAGUGUCGGAGGGGUAAGCGGAAUUCCUAGUGUAGCGGUGAAAUGCGUAGAUAUUAGGAGGAACACCAGUGGCGAAGGCGGCUUACUGGACGAUAACUGACGCUGAGGCUCGAAAGCGUGGGGAGCAAACAGGAUUAGAUACCCUGGUAGUCCACGCCGUAAACGA
This 801-nucleotide ribosomal RNA is filed under the name uncultured bacterium. Its description in RNAcentral is "bacterial SSU rRNA". It matches the Rfam family "Bacterial small subunit ribosomal RNA", at positions 8 to 809 of the family's 1533-position model. The record is from RNAcentral.